This is a non-coding RNA of Acanthosepion pharaonis, 114 nucleotides long. The record is from the annotation of a GenBank genome assembly. Lineage: Eukaryota; Metazoa; Mollusca; Cephalopoda; Sepiida; Sepiidae.
UUGCGGCCGCAUCAUUUGGAAACACCGGUUCCCGUACGAUCACCGAAGUUAAAUAACAUCGAGCCCGUUCAGUAACUAGAUGGGUGACCACUUGGGAAUAUCAGGUGCUGUAAG